Molecule: ribosomal RNA, 920 nt
Filed under: uncultured bacterium
Lineage: Bacteria
Description: bacterial SSU rRNA
Rfam family: Bacterial small subunit ribosomal RNA
Source: RNAcentral
ACGCUGGCGGCGUGCCUAAUACAUGCAAGUAGAACGCUGAAGAGAGGAGCUUGCUCUUCUUGGAUGAGUUGCGAACGGGUGAGUAACGCGUAGGUAACCUGCCUUGUAGCGGGGGAUAACUAUUGGAAACGAUAGCUAAUACCGCAUAACAAUGGAUGACACAUGUCAUUUAUUUGAAAGGGGCAAUUGCUCCACUACAAGAUGGACCUGCGUUGUAUUAGCUAGUAGGUGAGGUAACGGCUCACCUAGGCGACGAUGCAUAGCCGACCUGAGAGGGUGAUCGGCCACACUGGGACUGAGACACGGCCCAGACUCCUACGGGAGGCAGCAGUAGGGAAUCUUCGGCAAUGGGGGCAACCCUGACCGAGCAACGCCGCGUGAGUGAAGAAGGUUUUCGGAUCGUAAAGCUCUGUUGUAAGUCAAGAACGAGUGUGAGAGUGGAAAGUUCACACUGUGACGGUAGCUUACCAGAAAGGGACGGCUAACUACGUGCCAGCAGCCGCGGUAAUACGUAGGUCCCGAGCGUUGUCCGGAUUUAUUGGGCGUAAAGCGAGCGCAGGCGGUUUGAUAAGUCUGAAGUUAAAGGCUGUGGCUCAACCAUAGUUCGCUUUGGAAACUGUCAAACUUGAGUGCAGAAGGGGAGAGUGGAAUUCCAUGUGUAGCGGUGAAAUGCGUGGAUAUAUGGAGGAACACCGGUGGCGAAAGCGGCUCUCUGGUCUGUAACUGACGCUGAGGCUCGAAAGCGUGGGGAGCGAACAGGAUUAGAUACCCUGGUAGUCCACGCCGUAAACGAUGAGUGCUAGGUGUUGGAUCCUUUCCGGGAUUCAGUGCCGCAGCUAACGCAUUAAGCACUCCGCCUGGGGAGUACGACCGCAAGGUUGAAACUCAAAGGAAUUGACGGGGGCCCGCACAAGCGGUGG